This 538-nucleotide ribosomal RNA is filed under the name uncultured bacterium. RNAcentral's name for it is "partial 16S ribosomal RNA". It matches the Rfam family "Bacterial small subunit ribosomal RNA", at positions 355 to 887 of the family's 1533-position model. The record is from RNAcentral.
UGGGGAAUAUUGCACAAUGGGCGCAAGCCUGAUGCAGCCAUGCCGCGUGUGUGAAGAAGGCCUUCGGGUUGUAAAGCACUUUUGUCCGGAAAGAAAUCCUUGGCUCUAAUACAGUCGGGGGAUGACGGUACCGGAAGAAUAAGCACCGGCUAACUACGUGCCAGCAGCCGCGGUAAUACGUAGGGUGCAAGCGUUAAUCGGAAUUACUGGGCGUAAAGCGUGCGCAGGCGGUUUGCUAAGACCGAUGUGAAAUCCCCGGGCUCAACCUGGGAACUGCAUUGGUGACUGGCAGGCUAGAGUAUGGCAGAGGGGGGUAGAAUUCCACGUGUAGCAGUGAAAUGCGUAGAGAUGUGGAGGAAUACCGAUGGCGAAGGCAGCCCCCUGGGCCAAUACUGACGCUCAUGCACGAAAGCGUGGGGAGCAAACAGGAUUAGAUACCCUGGUAGUCCACGCCCUAAACGAUGUCAAUUAGUUGUUGGGGAUUCAUUUCCUUAGUAACGUAGCUAACGCGUAAGUUGACCGCCUGGGGAGUACGGUC